This is a long non-coding RNA of Sebastes umbrosus (honeycomb rockfish), 239 nucleotides long. RefSeq lists it as uncharacterized. The transcript is spliced from 4 exons. Lineage: Eukaryota; Metazoa; Chordata; Actinopteri; Perciformes; Sebastidae. The record is from RefSeq and is a predicted model, not a curated record.
UUUGUGUUGGAUGGAGAGAAAAAGUUGUUAAUAGGCUAAACUAUUAGAGAGAUGGAUAGAACAUGUUGUUAAUAGACUAAACUAUUACAGAGAUAGAGCGAUAAUGUUGUUAAUAGACUAAACUAUUACAGAGAUAGAGCGAUAAUGUUGUUAAUAGACUAAACUAUUACAGAGAUAGAGCGAUAAUGUUGUUAAUAGACUAAACUAUUACAGAGAUAGAGCGAUAAUCAAUCACAAAG